Molecule: non-coding RNA, 75 nt
Organism: Podarcis lilfordi (Lilford's wall lizard)
Lineage: Eukaryota; Metazoa; Chordata; Lepidosauria; Squamata; Lacertidae
Source: the annotation of a GenBank genome assembly
GUGCUUGCUUAGGCAGCACAUAUACUGUACUAAAAUUGGAACGUGACAGAGAAGAUUAGCAUGGCCCCUGCACAA